RNAcentral lists this long non-coding RNA (483 nucleotides) under Triticum aestivum (bread wheat). RNAcentral's name for it is "long non-coding RNA (TAES_LNC011995)". Lineage: Eukaryota; Viridiplantae; Streptophyta; Magnoliopsida; Poales; Poaceae. The record is from RNAcentral.
ACAAAAAAUAGUUUUCAAUUCAGUGUAUGACGCACGCGCACACACAUAUCACAUCCACAAUUUUUUUGGCUUACAUAAAAUGACAAAUGUUUCAUCUUGCAAAAAAGAAACAAAUGAAAAAAGCUUCCGCCUCACAGGCAUUAGCAUCGAACUUCCAUAAUUUUCUAUAUUUUUAUACAAAGCGAACAUUCCCCACGAGUAGUAAUACAUGGACUUCUCCUAGCCUGUGGGUAGGGGAGUCAAAGUGCGGCUGCCUGUGUGUGCUCUCACACUGGGAGAACCCUAGCGCUCGACGAAGUGGUGCGGGCGGCCAACUUGUCCGGCAGGAUAGGAUGGCCGGAGUACAGCAGUGAGCACCUCCGGGCUGCUGGGACAAACACGAUGUUUGCAAACUGGCCUCAGAGAGAGAGAGAGAGAGAGAGAAAGAGAGGGUGGUGGCUCAAAUUGAAUACUCACUGCAGUUCAAACACACAUGUAGAGGAG